This 460-nucleotide ribosomal RNA is filed under the name Providencia stuartii. Its description in RNAcentral is "partial 23S ribosomal RNA". It matches the Rfam family "Bacterial large subunit ribosomal RNA", at positions 735 to 1193 of the family's 2925-position model. Lineage: Bacteria; Pseudomonadati; Pseudomonadota; Gammaproteobacteria; Enterobacterales; Morganellaceae. The record is from RNAcentral.
CAUGGGCAGGUUGAAGGUUGGGUAACACUAACUGGAGGACCGAACCGACUAAUGUUGAAAAAUUAGCGGAUGACUUGUGGCUGGGGGUGAAAGGCCAAUCAAACCGGGAGAUAGCUGGUUCUCCCCGAAAGCUAUUUAGGUAGCGCCUCGUGAACUCAUCUUCGGGGGUAGAGCACUGUUUCGGCUAGGGGGUCAUCCCGACUUACCAACCCGAUGCAAACUACGAAUACCGAAGAAUGUUAUCACGGGAGACACACGGCGGGUGCUAACGUUCGUCGUGAAGAGGGAAACAACCCAGACCGCCAGCUAAGGUCCCAAAGUCAUGGUUAAGUGGGAAACGAAGUGGGAAGGCUCAGACAGCCAGGAUGUUGGCUUAGAAGCAGCCAUCAUUUAAAGAAAGCGUAAUAGCUCACUGGUCGAGUCGGCCUGCGCGGAAGAUGUAACGGGGCUAAACCAUGCA